UUCGACAACACCCAACUUGACAACACCUCAGCCACAAGCAUGCACCUGCACAAAUGAAAAGCCUUUUUUUCAGGUUGGUAAUUGUUUUUCAUUUUCAAUUUUGACUAGGGAGAUUUUAUUGGCACCCCAUUAUUUGCUUUUUGCAACCCAUACUAAUUUUAAACAUGAAAAACCUAUUUUAUCCUUGUAUAUAAUUACCGUUAAGGACAAAAAAAAUUUAAAACUAAAAUUAAAAUUGCUCACUACACUCAUAAAUGUUCAUGCAACCCUAGUUUGACUUUUUUCUCAAACCAUCAUGUUCCUACAACUCUAACGAGAUUUAUACGUUUAUAUUGGUGAAAAAAUAUCUUGUAUAUAUUCAUGAAGGGUGAGGUUGAAGUUAGAGAGGCUUCGAAUGAGGUAUGAGUUUUUUUUGGUGUUUUGCAAGUUUAGUAUUUCAUGAUGGUCACUGGUUGCGCUCAGCACAUCAGUACCGAACGCGAUAGGUAAAUUCGGUAGGAAGCCACCGAAAAGUUGCACGUAUUUCGAUUGUGUUUGACCGGUCAUGAACUUAAUAUGCGGUGGAGAUCCACCGUAACAUGGAACGUUGUUCAGUGGUUUAUUACUAAAAUUUUACUUGUGUUUCAGUAGCAAUGAACCGAAAUUUAUUUAUUUAUUUAGUAACUUAUUGUUGACCACAAAUUUAAUGCAAGCUAUUUUGAUCUUACUCCCAUUAAAGGAACAAAAACAAGGUGACACCCCUACUAAAGGCUACAAUGUGGGAACAUAAUGUGUAAUGGACCAUAGUGAUCAAUUCACAACUUAUUCGGUAAUUAUUUUGAAUUUUUUUUUGGUCUAAAAUCAUUUUUAGUAUCAUUAACGUGGUAUUAAUGUUUCAAAUUUUAUCUUUAAAUAAUAUAAUUUUUAUGUGUAGAUAUUCAAUGGUAGAGAUGCAUUACUUAGAUGGGCUCGUGUACAAGGAAAAAUGAAUAAUAUUGUCAUUGUAAUUAAAAGGUCUGAUUAUGGAGGUGAGGGCAAGAGGAGACAUCGAGUAAUACUUGCUUGCGAGAGGAGUGGCAACUAUAAGUCUUGCAAGUCUAGUGAGACAACUGGUAUAAGGUCAGAUAUGCAAAUAGUGAUAUGAAAAAAAUGUGCUAGGGACACUUGUACCAAGAAAUGUGGAUGCCCAUUCUUGUUAAAAGGUGUCAAUAUUGGUGAUGGGGAUGAUUGGAAGUUGGAGGUGGUUUGUGGAAUACAUAACCAUCCUAUUUCAGAGUAUCUUCAAGGUCAUUUAUUUGUGGGGCGACUUUCUGAAGAGAAGAAUGCCUUGUUGGUGGACAUGUCUAAGAGUUUGGUGAAAUCUAGAGAUAUUUUAGUCACCCUGAAGGAUAGAGAUGCAAUGAAUGUUUCAACUAUGAAGACAAUAUACAAUGCUAGGAUUCGAAAUAGAACCAAAGAGUUUGCUGGGAGAACCCAAAUGCAACAAUUGCUUACUAAGUUAUCCGAACACAAUUAUAUUGAGUGGCAUAGGACAUCUAGUGAUAUUGUAAUUGACCUGUUUUGGAGACACCUUAUUAAUAUUGAGAUUUUGCGUGCAUUUUCACAUGUACUUAUCAUGGAUUGCACUUAUAAAACUAAUAGGUAUUGUCCCACUAUUGCAAAUUGUGGGGGUGACAUCUACUAAUAUGACAUUCUCUGUUGCGUAUGCGUAUAUGAAUGCCGAGAAGAAAGACAAUUACACAUGGACUUUGAUUGCAUUGAGGAGUUUGUUGGAUGAUAAUUAUCUUCCUAGUGUUAUUGUCACCGAUCGAGAGUUAGAACUCAUGAAUUCUAUUACGUCUAUAUUUCCGAAAGCACGACAUUUAUUAUGUAAAUGACAUAUUAACAAAGGAGUGUUGGCAUACUGCCAGAAGUUAUUUGGGACCCUCAAACAAUAGAAACAAUUUAAUGAGGAUUGGAAUACUUUGGUUGGUUCAAAAACAGAGGAAUAUUGGCGUUGUUUACGACAGAUUGAGUCUGAGUUCAGUGAAUUUCAAAAAGCUCUUGAAUACAUACAUAACAAUUGGUUAAAUCCAUUUAAGGAUAGGUUUGUACCCGCAUGGACAGACAUCUUGGAUCAACGACCUCUGUAUCAACAUUACUAUCAUGAGUAAGAGCUACAUAUUCAACCUCUGUAGUAUCCUCAAAGUGAUCUUGGAGAGCCACUCUCUGUCUCCUCGUUGAGGUUGUGGGACGCUGUCUAUUAGGUCGAGAUGAUGAAGCCUCAGUAGUACCUCUGUGAGUCCUCUUCAUAUCUAAAAAAAUAAUAUUAAGUACACACUCAAUAACGUAUUCGGUAGAUGAUCACUGAAAAAUGGAAACAAAUUCGGUGGACUAUCACUGAAAAAAGAAAACAUAUUCAGUGGAGUACCAUUGAAAAACCAAAAUAGAUCUGGUGGGCAUCUCCUAAAAAAUGGAAACAAAUUCAGUGGACUACUACUGAAACAAGGUAAUGAUUUUGGUGGUAACCCACCAAAAGUAAAAUUAAUUUCAAGUUGAAAUUCGGUGGACUACCACUGAAGCAAUGUAACCAUUUUGGUGGUAAUCCACCGAAACGAAAAUCAAGUUUCAUAAAACCAAGUUCGAACCAUACACCCACGAAGUUGAAAUCAAUAAUUUAAAUCAGACUUUGGCUUUUUAAAAGUGAAAUCAAACCUAGGCUUAAUCAACACUUAGAAAUGUAAAUAUAGAAAUCAAAAUUGAAAUCAAACCUUGGUUCUUCGAAGAAUUUGUGAAAAGUUGACAGAUUGGUGAUGGAUGUUUGCGAUGGCUGAGGUGAUGGUGGUGUGCGACUGGGUAAGGCGUUUGGGGUUGGCUGUGGGGUGUGAUGGCUUUGUUUCAGAGAUGGGUUGUGCAAUGGGUUCAGGUUUGCAAAGAUGGGUUGUGUGAUGGGGAUUGCAGAGAUGGGUCGUGCGAUGACUCUGUUUCAAAGGGGAUGAGGUGUGCAGUGAAGCUUGUUGUAAGUCUGAUAGGGUGUGUCUGCAAGAUGAGGGAAUUUUUGAUGGGGUGGGGCUUGAUAUGGGAUGAGGUGGGGUUUGAUAUCAGAUGGGGUGUCUUUGAAAAGGAAAGGGAUUUUCAAUGGGUGGUGUGUGAUAUGGGAUGAGGUUUAUACAGCAAGUUAGAGAAUGAGGUUUAUGAGGGCAAUUUAGGAAGAAAAAUGGGAUAUAGUGAGUAAUUUGAAAUUUUAUUAAAAUUCAGGGGUGUAAAGAGAUUAUGGGGUGCAAAGAGCAAAUAAUGGAGUUCAUAUAGAAUUUUCCUUAAAAAAAAAGGAAAAAGAAAAAAAAAAGCGCCAUAGCCUACAACUAACGUGUCAUUUUCGAUUUUCCUACUUCGCAACGAAAACUACUCCAAAAAAAUUUCCAUUUCAUUUUUGCCGCCUUUCACUUGCCGUCGAUCUGUGCUACAAGUCACCGGUGAGCGCACGCUGGUUAACCUGUGCACCCCGCCUAGGGCAAAGUACUUGCGGUCAUCCUCUGCUUCUUCACUUCACUCUACUCUGCAACUCUCUGUGAAGC
Molecule: long non-coding RNA, 3533 nt
Filed under: Prunus persica (peach)
Lineage: Eukaryota; Viridiplantae; Streptophyta; Magnoliopsida; Rosales; Rosaceae
Description: long non-coding RNA (PPER_LNC006023)
Source: RNAcentral